Long non-coding RNA from Suricata suricatta (meerkat), 1350 nucleotides. RefSeq lists it as uncharacterized. Lineage: Eukaryota; Metazoa; Chordata; Mammalia; Carnivora; Herpestidae. The record is from RefSeq and is a predicted model, not a curated record. The transcript has 2 exons.
CUUCCGGCUCUUUGAAGGAGUGCCGCCAGAAGGGAAGGGACGCGAGCCGCGUUUCGGUGUCACCCCGACCGUUUGCAGUCCCCAUUUGUAUAUGAGGUCACUCCGACUUUCAUAGAAACAAACUUCGUGAAAGGAGAUCUAAAAGGAUGUUAAUGGUUCCUGGAAUAUUGCGUAGGCCCUGUUUCCAAACUCCUACCCAUUGCCGGCCGAAGACACUCCUCCAGAGGGAUUUUAAGCGGAAGGAGAGAGCACUUUCCAGCAGAUUUGAGAGGUGGUGGUGCUGAUGGGGCUGGGUGCUUAGGGGAACGCAGCCUGCAGUCACCUGAAGCCUGGCUUUCAUGUAUUAGGAAAAUUAUCGUUCCUUGCCCCGGCCCCUUCCGAAUUUUCACUUGCUGCACAGAGGAUAGGCUCGGCCUCAAGGAGUUGCGGUUCACUGGGGAGACUGACAAGCGGAAUCAAUGGGAUGAGCUCUAAAUCCUCUGACAGAGGAGUAACAAGGAAGGUAGCGCCACACAAGUCAGAACAAGUAAGAGGCUUCCACACAAAUGUCAGAAAAGCAGCAGAAUUCAAGAGGCCCAGAUUGGACCUACAAGGCCAGGAUACCUUGCAGGAGGAAGGCUGGUCACAUUUGGGAACACAUUUCCAGAAACCUGCAUGCUUCCCGACUUGGUCUCUGUUGGCAUCUGUACCUGCAAAGAGUAGACAAGACUGUGACCUUCAAAGGGACAUUUAGGAAAAGGGUCAUUGGGGUGAUCUGGACAAUGGAAGCAGAAUGUGUCUUGCCUUUCGCCUGUAUUAAGCUAGAGCAUUAAGGAAACCUGAAGCACGGUGCCGUAUAAUUUCAGAGGCAUGGCUUUGUUCAUGUGUUUCUUUAAUACCCAUUCUGCGCACUGUGAACUGACCUCCUGCUUUAGGAGCAGGGGCUUAUCUCUCCUGAACUUCAGGUGCUGGCUUUAGUUGAAUGAACAAAUCGGGGUAGUGUGUUGCUCUUUUUAUAAGGAUUGCCAGAGUUAAUUCAGCAAACACAAAUUCAGUUAGAAGAGUGUGUGACACAUGCUUAGUGCUCAAUGAACAUUUGUUGUUGAUACUAGUGUAACAAUGACUGGCUCCAUCCGAGGAAACCUGGACUUGUUUCAGUGGUUAUGUGAUACCAUGCUUUCUUCUUGGAUGGGGGUGAAGAAGCAUGUGUACCUGAUGCCAUCUUUCCACCUUGAGGGGAGCCAGCCCAACCACAUGACUGAUGAACAAGGAGGGGCAGAAGAGGCCACACCCUGAUCAGACCAUUCCUGCAGUCUGCUACCUCUGGACCUUUCAGUUGUUGGAGAUAAAUACAUCCCAUUUGUUACUUCA